This 253-nucleotide ribosomal RNA is filed under the name uncultured bacterium. Its description in RNAcentral is "partial 16S ribosomal RNA". It matches the Rfam family "Bacterial small subunit ribosomal RNA", at positions 524 to 776 of the family's 1533-position model. The record is from RNAcentral.
CACGUAGGAGGCGAGCGUUGUCCGGAAUCAUUGGGCGUAAAGAGCGCGCAGGCGGCUUGGCAAGUCGGGUGUGAAAUCCCGGGGCUCAACCCCGUGACUGCAUCCGAUACUGUCAGGCUAGAGGUAGGUAGGGGAGAUCGGAAUUCCUGGUGUAGCGGUGAAAUGCGCAGAUAUCAGGAGGAACACCGGUGGCGAAGGCGGAUCUCUGGGCCGAUACUGACGCUGAGGAGCGAAAGCGUGGGGAGCGAACAGG